CGAGGGUCAGCCGAAAACCUCUGUAAAAGAGUAGGCA
Chitinophaga sancti is the source of this 37-nucleotide non-coding RNA. NCBI's taxonomy places the organism in Bacteria, Pseudomonadati, Bacteroidota, Chitinophagia, Chitinophagales, Chitinophagaceae. The record is from Rfam.